Molecule: ribosomal RNA, 252 nt
Filed under: uncultured bacterium
Lineage: Bacteria
Description: partial 16S ribosomal RNA
Rfam family: Bacterial small subunit ribosomal RNA
Source: RNAcentral
UACGGAGGAUGCGAGCGUUAUCCGGAUUUAUUGGGUUUAAAGGGUGCGUAGGCGGGAUGCCAAGUCAGCGGUAAAAAUGCGGUGCUCAACGCCGUCGAGCCGUUGAAACUGGGUGUCUUGAGUGGGCGAGAAGUACGCGGAAUGCGUGGUGUAGCGGUGAAAUGCAUAGAUAUCACGCAGAACUCCGAUUGCGAAGGCAGCGUACCGGCGCCCAACUGACGCUGAAGCACGAAGGCGUGGGUAUCGAACAGG